UACCUUAUUGAUUCUGUUGGCGCUUAAUGUUCAGCUAAAAGACUGAGCUAUGCAUAUUGAGUUCAACUUUGGAAUCAAACUGCGAAGGAGUCAUAAUAGCUGAUGAAAAUUCUUAGGAAUUGUUUUGAUGGAUUACUGCGGUAAUUUUGGAGUUAAUACAUGCAACAAAAGUUUUGUUUUGUUCUUCGAAUUCGCAGAAUUGGAAUAACGCUGCAUAUUCCAAGUGACUACCCUGUUAACCUCAUGGUAGUCCAUUAGUCUAGUAUAGAUAUUACGGCUAACGGAAAAUAAGUGUUCGACGGAAAGGAAGCCUUAGAAACGCUACCACAUCGAAAGAAGACAGCAGUCGCAAAGCUUAUUCAAUCUUGAGGAGGUGAGAUAGUGACUAGAUAUAAGAGUGGAAGCACGUCUGCUGCCAGUAGCCUCGGGGAUUCCAACUCUACUAGUGUAAAUCGUUACUACUGCGGUUAGAAAGAUCGUAAUUGGAUCUGAGUUACAUGUAAUGGUUGGCGCUUGGCGUUAAUCGUGUGUGUAUGCUGAUUUUCUAUUAGAAUCUCGACUUUUCUAGUGACUAGUGAGUUUACCUUGAAUAAAUUAAAAUG
This 602-nucleotide non-coding RNA is filed under the name Dictyocaulus viviparus (bovine lungworm). Its description in RNAcentral is "Eukaryotic small subunit ribosomal RNA". It matches the Rfam family "Eukaryotic small subunit ribosomal RNA", at positions 1 to 773 of the family's 1831-position model. The record is from Rfam by way of RNAcentral. Lineage: Eukaryota; Metazoa; Nematoda; Chromadorea; Rhabditida; Metastrongylidae.